UGGGGAAUAUUGGACAAUGGGCGAAAGCCUGAUCCAGCCAUGCCGCGUGUGUGAAGAAGGUCUUCGGAUUGUAAAGCACUUUAAGUUGGGAGGAAGGGCAGUAAUCGAAUACCUUGCUGUUUUGACGUUACCGACAGAAUAAGCACCGGCUAACUCUGUGCCAGCAGCCGCGGUAAUACAGAGGGUGCAAGCGUUAUUCGGAAUUAUUGGGCGUAAAGCGCGCGUAGGUGGUUCGUUAAGUUGAAUGUGAAAGCCCCGGGCUCAACCUGGGAACUGCAUCCAAAACUGGCGAGCUAGAGUAGGGGAGGGGGAGGUGGAAUUUCCUGUGGAGCGGGGAAAGGCGGAGGUAUAGGAAGGAACACCAGUGGCGAAGGCGACCACCUGGGCUCAUACUGACACUGAGGUGCGAAAGCGUGGGGAGCAAACAGG
Molecule: ribosomal RNA, 429 nt
Filed under: Pseudomonadota bacterium
Lineage: Bacteria; Pseudomonadati; Pseudomonadota
Description: Proteobacteria bacterium partial 16S ribosomal RNA
Rfam family: Bacterial small subunit ribosomal RNA
Source: RNAcentral